Ictalurus punctatus (channel catfish) is the source of this 1985-nucleotide long non-coding RNA. The record is from Ensembl. NCBI's taxonomy places the organism in Eukaryota, Metazoa, Chordata, Actinopteri, Siluriformes, Ictaluridae.
UUAACGGCUCUGGGUUACUGAAGGUCAGAAGGUCAGGAGUUCAAGCCCCAACACUGCCAAGCUACCACUGUUGGGCCCUCGGGCAACCCUCAGUUGUAUAAAUGAGAAUAACGUAAGUCGCUCUGCAUAAGGUCGUCUGUCAAGUGCCGUAAAUGUAAAUGAAGCUACUAGUUUAUUUAUAUUUUAGGAAACAGAACCAGGUAAAAUCAUUCGAAGAUAUCUAAUAACUAAUAGGCACAAACAAAAAUAACAGCAGGGUUAAUUUAAAACAUUUGGCACACGUGUGUAGAUGAGAACGGUUAUGAAAUGGAGUGAUGUAGCUGAGGUCGAGGAAAUGUCAGAGCCAGAAUUCACACAUCAUGCUGGUACUGAAGAAAAAAAACAACACACCUUCUGCUUUAGGCCACGCCCACUUCGAUAUGGCAUUAUACCCCUAAUGUAUAUUACAAACACGUGAACUUAUCCUCUCACUGUUUUGGAUAAAACCUAAAGCCGUGUCGUAGCGCGGCUGAGUGUCAUUAGGUUUACAAGUAUAAUUGAGUCUUAAAGCCCAACAAGCCUGUGGAGAAAACUUUUUAAGUGAUUCUCAAGAUUUGUAGAGCUACUAUCUUGUGUGAAGUCUUUCCUGUUACAGAUUUUGCAUGCCACUUUUGCAUUCGGAUCGAGUGUUUGACCCCAAGUGCUCCUAGCUUGACCACGGUCAAUGAUCUGAUCACAGAGUGUUUUCAUUUUUCUUUUUUUGGCACAAUUAUUAACGUAAUACGAUCGGAGUAAACGUCACUGUAAAUGACUACAUCGUUAUACCGCACAGCCCAGUACAGAUCCAGUACAAGCCCAGUACAGAUCCAGUACAAACCCAGUACAGAUGCAGUACAAACACAGUACAAGCCCAGUACACGCCCAGCACAAGCCCAGUACAGAUCCAGUACAAGCCCAGUACAGAUCCAGUACAAACCCAGUACAGAUGCAGUACAAACACAGUACAAGCCCAGUACACGCCCAGCACAAGCCCAGUACAGAUCCAGUACAAGCCCAGUACAAGCCCAGCACAAGCCCAGUACAGAUCCAGUACAAACACAGUACAAGCCCAGUACAGAUCCAGUACAAACACAGUACAAGCCCAGUACAGAUCCAGUACAAACACAGUACAAGCCCAGUACAAGCCCAGUACAGAUCCAGUACAAACCCAGUACAAAUCCAGUACAAGCCCAGUACAGAUCCAGUACAAACCCAGUACAAGCCCAGUACAAGCCCAGUACAGAUCCAGUACAAGCCCAGUACAGAUCCAGUACAAACCCAGUACAGAUCCAGUACAAACCCAGUACAAGCCCAGCACAAGCCCAGUACAGAUCCAGCUUCAGAAACACACAAACAUACACUAAGUAAACAGUCAGACUGGGUUAUAGGCUGAUUCUUGCUCCAGGUUUGACCCUUGGUUCUGACUGUGGCUAUGUGGCCCUCAACAAGGCCUCAUGGGAAAUGUAGUAUUUCCUGCACUGGGUCUGUUCGUGCGACAUUAAUGAGACAGAGGUCACAUACACAGCACCGGUGUGUAUUAUAUUACAUGUGGAAUUUAAGACAGUGUGAAUGAACCACAGUCUAGAAGGUCUGUGUGUGUCAGUAUCUGCUAAGAAACAUGUCUUUGUAUGUUAUUAUCACUAAACUCAAACAAUACUGCCAGAAUGUCUUCAUGGUUGCUUCUAAUGCCGUUCCAAAUGCCUCAUCCAGUGCAGAUUGUGUAUUCAGAGGGACUACUCUAGUUACAGAACACACACACACACACACACACACACACACACACACACACACACACAUAUCUACAAGUUAAAUAUGUUCACAUGCAAACAGAUUCCUGACGCCAUCCCCCUUAUCAUCCAUCUGGUCAAAUUCACAGACACACACACACACACACACACACACACACACACACACCAUUGCACUCAUGAGAAUACUUCAGUGCAAGUAUAAGAGCAUGUAUAAUUCAC